This 214-nucleotide ribosomal RNA is filed under the name uncultured bacterium. RNAcentral's name for it is "partial 16S ribosomal RNA". It matches the Rfam family "Bacterial small subunit ribosomal RNA", at positions 524 to 735 of the family's 1533-position model. The record is from RNAcentral.
UACGAAGGGGGCUAGCGUUGUUCGGAAUUACUGGGCGUAAAGCGUAUGUAGGCGGAUCGUUAAGUCGGGGGUGAAAUCCCGAGGCUCAACCUCGGAACUGCCUUCGAUACUGGCGAUCUUCGAGUCCGGGAGAGGUGAGUGGAACUCCGAGUGUAGAGGUGAAAUUCGUAGAUAUUCGGAAGAAACACCAGUGGCGAAGGCGGCUCACUGGCCC